Long non-coding RNA from Dermacentor silvarum, 408 nucleotides. RefSeq lists it as uncharacterized. The record is from RefSeq and is a predicted model, not a curated record. The transcript is spliced from 4 exons. NCBI's taxonomy places the organism in Eukaryota, Metazoa, Arthropoda, Arachnida, Ixodida, Ixodidae.
GCAGGUCUCUGCAACCAGCAGCAAAGCCAGCAAUGGACGAUACCAUUAAAAACAGGAUGUGAAAUAAAAUAUAAUAUAUUUGUAAAUAAUUCAUAUGUACCAACAUAUGUAGAAAACUGCACCUGUAUUUUACAAAACAAAAGACUUGCAACAUUUCCAGACGGCACUCAUUGCAAAGUGUUGGCCGUUGGAUAUGACAAAGAAUACGCCAAUAGAGCAGGGACGUGUAAGGAUGGCAAGUGCAUUUUACCUAACGUACCACUCGGAUGCGAAGGAGUGGAGCCUCCACCACAGAAAGCUGGCGAACGUCCCCAGCUCGGCUGCACAUAUCUUUGCUACAACGACUCUACAAAGAGAGUAGAGUUUGCCUAUCUCAAAGAAGAAACCCCUUGUAUGGUAAGAUACCUU